Molecule: small nucleolar RNA, 138 nt
Filed under: Dichanthelium oligosanthes
Lineage: Eukaryota; Viridiplantae; Streptophyta; Magnoliopsida; Poales; Poaceae
Description: Small nucleolar RNA Z247
Rfam family: Small nucleolar RNA Z247
About the family: Z247 is a member of the C/D class of snoRNA which contain the C (UGAUGA) and D (CUGA) box motifs. Most of the members of the box C/D family function in directing site-specific 2'-O-methylation of substrate RNAs.
Source: Rfam by way of RNAcentral
CCUCUAGAAGAUGAAGAACUGGUGGAAUAUAUUCUCACCGGGCUAGAUGAAGAAUAUGACUCGGUGGUUUCCUUGGUCUUGCUCGAUCUGAGUUAGUUUCUAUAAGCGAGCUGUACUCCCAGCUGCUCACGUUUGAGA